ACGAACGCUGGCGGCGUGCCUAAUACCUGCAAGUUGAGCGAUGAAGAUUGGUGCUUGCCCCAAUUUGAAGAGCAGCGAACGGGUGAGUAACGCGUGGGGAAUCUGCCUUUGAGCGGGGGACAACAUUUGGAAACGAAUGCUAAUACCGCAUAACAACUUUAAACAUAAGUUUUAAGUUUGAAAGAUGCAAUUGCAUCACUCAAAGAUGAUCCCGCGUUGUAUUAGCUAGUUGGUGAGGUAAAGGCUCACCAAGGCGAUGAUACAUAGCCGACCUGAGAGGGUGAUCGGCCACAUUGGGACUGAGACACGGCCCAAACUCCUACGGGAGGCAGCAGUAGGGAAUCUUCGGCAAUGGACGAAAGUCUGACCGAGCAACGCCGCGUGAGUGAAGAAGGUUUUCGGAUCGUAAAACUCUGUUGGUAGAGAAGAACGUUGGUGAGAGUGGAAAGCUCAUCAAGUGACGGUAACUACCCAGAAAAGGACGGCUAACUACGU
This 495-nucleotide ribosomal RNA is filed under the name uncultured bacterium. RNAcentral's name for it is "partial 16S ribosomal RNA". It matches the Rfam family "Bacterial small subunit ribosomal RNA", at positions 29 to 506 of the family's 1533-position model. The record is from RNAcentral.